AUGCACGCUGGCGGCGUGCCUCAUCCCUGCCAGUCGAGCGAACAGACGUGGAGCUUGCUCCUCUGACGUUAGCGGCGGACGGGUGAGUAACACGUGGAUAACCUACCUAUAAGACUGGGAUAACUUCGGGAAACCGGAGCUAAUACCGGAUAAUAUAUUGAACCGCAUGGUUCAAUAGUGAAAGACGGUUUUGCUGUCACUUAUAGAUGGAUCCGCGCCGCAUUAGCUAGUUGGUAAGGUAACGGCUUACCAAGGCAACGAUGCGUAGCCGACCUGAGAGGGUGAUCGGCCACACUGGAACUGAGACACGGUCCAGACUCCUACGGGAGGCAGCAGUAGGGAAUCUUCCGCAAUGGGCGAAAGCCUGACGGAGCAACGCCGCGUGAGUGAUGAAGGUCUUCGGAUCGUAAAACUCUGUUAUUAGGGAAGAACAAAUGUGUAAGUAACUAUGCACGUCUUGACGGUACCUAAUCAGAAAGCCACGGCUAACUACGUG
RNAcentral lists this ribosomal RNA (496 nucleotides) under uncultured bacterium. RNAcentral describes it as "partial 16S ribosomal RNA". It matches the Rfam family "Bacterial small subunit ribosomal RNA", at positions 29 to 507 of the family's 1533-position model. The record is from RNAcentral.